Sorex araneus (European shrew) is the source of this 468-nucleotide non-coding RNA. NCBI's taxonomy places the organism in Eukaryota, Metazoa, Chordata, Mammalia, Eulipotyphla, Soricidae. The record is from the annotation of a RefSeq genome assembly.
CUCACUCAGGGCUGAGUCUCUGGGGAAGGCAGAGCUGUGCUCGAGGAGAAGAUGAUUCUGUGGGGUCUUCUCUUCUGCCUGGCGACAGCGCCCCUGGGUGCUGUGUCUGCUCUGACCCUGCAGGAGUCGGGCCCAGGCCUGGUGAAGCCCUCCCAGACCCUGUCCCUCACCUGCUCUGUCUCUGGGGGCUCUGUCACCAGCAGUAACUACUGGCAUUGGAUCCGCCAGCGCCCUGGGAAAGGGUUGGAGUGGAUGGGACGCUGGUCAGGUGGUACCAGCUACAACCCAGCAUUCCAGGGGCGCAUCUCCAUCACGGCUGACCCCUCCAAGAACCAGUUCUCCCUGCAGCUGAGCUCUGUGACCUCCGAGGACACAGCCCUGUAUUACUGUGCUAGAGACACAGUGAGGGGAAGUCAGGCCCUUUCUGAGAUUUACGAAUUCUCUGGUGUUCCACAGUCCCAGUUCUAA